Molecule: small nuclear RNA, 100 nt
Organism: Phymastichus coffea
Lineage: Eukaryota; Metazoa; Arthropoda; Insecta; Hymenoptera; Eulophidae
Source: RefSeq, a predicted model, not a curated record
GUGUUGUAUGAAAGGAGAGAAGUUUAGCACUCCCCUAGACAAGGAUGGAAACACAAAUACCGUAAGGCACCGUCGCUUGCGACACUUACGAACAUUUUUU